This is a long non-coding RNA of Danio rerio (zebrafish), 2244 nucleotides long. The record is from Ensembl. Lineage: Eukaryota; Metazoa; Chordata; Actinopteri; Cypriniformes; Danionidae.
AUGGUUUAACCUUGAAAUAUUUUGAUUUAUGUAUGUAAAAUUUUCCAAGCUUAAGGAUGUUGUUGAUUAGGAAGGCAUCUUCUUUACUGUCCAUUGCAAGUCCAUAAAUUAUGUCAUUCACAUUAAAAAUCCUUAGGCGUGGAAUCUUUGGGUAAAGCCAGUCAUAAACAUCUGACCAUAAUGCAUCCACAAACAUACAGUGAUGGUGGGUUAUUUCUGUGCCGCUGUGUGUGUGUGUGUGUGUGUGUGUGUAUGUGUGUGUGUGUCUCUCCCGUCCAGUUCUCUUCGUUUCCAGCUCGCCCUGCCCUAAUUGGACGUGCGCGUGCGCUGUGAUUGGUGCUUGGAGACCGCAUCUUUUGAAAAGACGUUUCAGACCUUUAACUGUUCUGCAUCUUGGGUUUCCAGUCCUCUUCCGCCAUUAGUUCGUCACUUUCAACGAUCGUUUCGAAGGAAAGAUUCACUUCUGCUGGAUAUAAAGAUGCAAACCAACAACGUUGUCAGAGUGAAGUUCAGAGAACGGAGGAUCACAUUUCACUCAUUUUUGGAAAGUGGAUGCAAACCAACAAUGCUUUCAAAGUGAAGUUCAGAGAACGGAAGAUGACAUUUCACUCAUUUUUGGAAAGUGGUUGGGACAGUGAUAUGUCAUUGAUCCUGAUACUGGUUAUCUAUGAUGCCUUUGAUUGCCUUGUGAAAUUCAUCAAGAUAAAGCAGAAUGGUACCAGUAUUCAAGGGCAUCUGGAUAGCAUCAGAGAGAGUCUCCAGCCAUAUCUUCUUGCAGCUGGGUCAAAGAAAAGUAGGGUCCAUUCUUGGUUUAUUAUAAUUUACCAACAUGUUCUACCCUGUCAGGCUUAUGCUUGAACUAUUGUUACUCGCUUUAUAUAGGUAUAGGCCAAUCCUAGGCUUCUUACUGGAAACCAUAAAUUUGAACACAUCCCCUCCUGUGCUCCUUUUAGAAUGGAGUUCAGAAUUUUACUGUAUGUUUUUAAGGUAAUAAAUGGUCAGGCACCACCUUAUCUCUCUAAACUUAUUAAUGUUAAAUUAUCUGGCUGAUGUUUAAAGACGUCAAACCAGAAAAUGUUUUACUAAAAAAAACUAUUACUUUAACAACCAUAGCUUCUACUUCAAUCGCUACUUCCACUACUACAACAGUGACAGCAACCUAAAUAUUGACAAUGGUAAAAAUACUUAUGAUAAUGAAGAAAUAAAAGGAAGACAAGGCAAAACAGUAAUACUAAUAAUGGUAACAAAAGUAGAAGUAAUGCAUUUAAUGAUGAUAGUGAGGAGGCGAGGGGAGGUUGGGAAAUCAGGAACAAGACAAAUAAUAAUAAUACUAAUACUACUACUACUACUACUACUACUACUACUACUACUACUAAUAAUAAUAAUUAUAAUAAUAACAACAACAAUAAUAAUAAUAAUAAAUAUAAUAUAAUAUUAACAAUAAUAAUAAUAAUAAUAAUAAGAAGAAGAAGAAGAAGAAGAAAAAGAAGUAGAAGAAUCUAGAAGAAGAAAAUAAAAGAAUGAGGAAAAAAGGAAUAAAUAGAAAUGAAAGGGGAGGAAAAAAUAGAAAGUAGAAAAAGAACAAGAUAGGAAAAAAAGUAGAAAAAUAAAGUGCAGCAGAAAAAAUAAUGAGAAUAAUAAUAAAGAAACCAUUACUAUAAUAAUGAUAAUAUACAAAUAAUAAGAACCAUGUAAAGAAUAAAAUUGAUAAGAAAAGUAACACGAAAAGAAUAAAUAUACACAUAAAUAAUUAUUAAAUUCAAUAAAUAGAUAAUAUUGAAAAAGGAUGGAAGAUCAAGAGGUGGACAGAUACAUGUGACAACUAUAAAACCAUAAUAUACUCAUGUUGAUAAUAAUAAUAAUAAUAAUAAUAAUAAAACAACAGAAUUAAUAGUAAUUUAAAUUGGAAGUUAUACUGUGUGUAUAGUGUGUCAUUUGCUUUGUGAUGCUUUAAAAAAGUAUGACGUGCGGCAUGGAUCGGUCCAGUGCAAUGCCCAGGCUGUAGGGCUGUAACGAUACACCAAACCCACGAUUCAGUUCGUAUCACGAUUUUUGACCCACGAUUCGGUUCGUAUCACGAUUUUUUAUUUUUUUUUUCGUGUGGGGUGGGAAAAAAAAAGAUUUUUAAAACUAUUUUUUAUUAAAUAACAUUGGAAAAAUUUUUAUAAACUAAACAUCAAAGAACAAUAUUAACUAUGCAAAUUAUUAACAAUAUAAAUAGCCAUAUAUAAAAUAAAUAAAUAA